Molecule: non-coding RNA, 369 nt
Organism: Rhodopseudomonas palustris CGA009
Lineage: Bacteria; Pseudomonadati; Pseudomonadota; Alphaproteobacteria; Hyphomicrobiales; Nitrobacteraceae
Source: Rfam
GCCCUUUCGUCGGCGGACAUUGCCCCCUAUAUUGGGAGCGUCGGGGCAACCCGACUAUGGAAAUAAAUGGCCGCCGCAAUAAACCAUUCGGACCCGGGGGCGGUACCCGGCGCCUCCACCCAAGCCCGUUCUUCUCGUUUCGAAAAGGCGGGUUUCGGCGGGGGCGAAAUAGGAUCGACGAGGGCGUAAAGGGCUCGCUUUUUCCCGGUAUUGUUCCGCCGUUAUCGGGCUACUGCAAUAGUUGCCAACGACAACUAUGCUCCGGUUGCUCAGGCUGCGUAACGCAGUUUGAAAGACCACUUUAAAGCCCUAACGGGUUAAGCUCCGUUAGGCGGGGUUCGGAGGCACCUGGCAACAGAAGCCUCCACU